CCCUUAGAUGUUCUGGGCCGCACGCGCGCUACACUGAUACAUGCAACGAGUUUAUAACCUUGAUCUGACGGUCUGGGUAAUCUUCAAACUGUAUCGUGUUAGGGAUCGAUUCUUGCAAUUUUUAAUCGUAAACGAGGAAUUCCUAGUAAGCGCGAGUCAUCAGCUCGUGCUGAUUACGUCCCUGCCCUUUGUACACACCGCCCGUCGCUGCAACUGAUUGGGUGACCUGGUGAACAUCUUGGACCGGCCCACUCAAUUUCGAGAGGACUGGAAAAGGCCGUAAAUCAGGUACAUCUAGAAAUUGCAAAAGUCGUAACA
RNAcentral lists this ribosomal RNA (318 nucleotides) under uncultured eukaryote. RNAcentral's name for it is "partial 18S ribosomal RNA". It matches the Rfam family "Eukaryotic small subunit ribosomal RNA", at positions 1470 to 1796 of the family's 1831-position model. The record is from RNAcentral.